CCCUUCGGGAGCUUGCACAGGUGCUGCAUGGCUGUCGUCAGCUCGUGUCGUGAGAUGUCGGUUAAGUCCGCUAACGAGCGCAACCCUCGCUGUGUGUUAUAUGUGUCACACGGGACUGCCGGUCUUAAGCCGGAGGAAGGUGGGGAUGAUGUCAAGUCAGCAUGGCCUUUAUAUCCUGGGCUACACACACGCUACAAUGGCCAACACAAUAGGUUGCUAAGCCGCGAGGUGGCGCCAAUCCAUAAAGUUGGUCUCAGUUCAGAUUGUAGGCUGCAACCCGCCUGCAUGAAGAUGGAGUUGCUAGUAACCGCAGGUCAGCUAUACUGCGGUGAAUACGUUCCCGGGCUU
Molecule: ribosomal RNA, 348 nt
Filed under: uncultured Leptolinea sp.
Lineage: Bacteria; Bacillati; Chloroflexota; Anaerolineae; Anaerolineales; Anaerolineaceae
Description: bacterial SSU rRNA
Rfam family: Bacterial small subunit ribosomal RNA
Source: RNAcentral